UGUAUGUAAUGACUUCUGACAGCAGUGGAGACACAGUGAAGAGCAUGUCUGUCUUUGCAUGAGUAUUUCUGCAUCUAUUCUUGAGAACCACAUUCCAAUUCUGGAAUCGUUAUUAUACACGAGUCGCCACGAGCAACCGCAUGUACAGGACGCUGAACUUACCGGAGAAAGACUCCUUCCAAACAAACGGGUGGCGCCAGUUGAAGCCCUGUGUGUUGCAGCUGCAGAUCCUAGUACGUUUUCCUUCACUGCUACCCAACACGACCAGAUCACCUCCCGAGGAACACUCCACUGGGGUUUUAAUAUCCUUAUCUGAAGAAGAAAACAAUGUUUAAAGUGCAUGUGUGCGUAGGAUUGUUAAUGGGGCUGCAAGUAGCCUAGUGGUUAGAGCGGUGGGCCAAUAACCGAAAGGUUGCUGGAUUGAAUCCCCGCGCUGACAAGGUAAAAAAAAAAUGUCGUUCUGCCCCUGAGCAAGGCAGUUAACCCACUGUUCCUUGUGUACUGUGGAUGUUGAUUACGGUAGCCCCCCACACCUCUUUGAUUCAGAGGGGUUGGGUUAAUUGCCGAAGACACAUUUCAGUUGAAUGCAUUCAGUUGUACAACUGUGGCUGUGCCUGGCUUGCAUUUGUGCACUUCCCAUCCAGCAGGGCCAGAGUGCCCCUGUUGUGUCAGGGUGUAAGGGGUCUACGCAAACAGAGCCAAAGGAAGUCUGUACAUUUGUGCGGCUGAAUUUCUGGAACGCAACACAAACUGAUCUCCUUCGGCUCCGUUUGCGUAGAGCUCUUUACACUUGCACAUACUGUACUCAGCCUCGUACUCCCGAGUGGCUCUCUGCACGUUAAGCCUCCUGGUGUUGGCAUUGGGAAUGCUCAGUGGGAUCAGGGUCUGGAUGGGCUCCGGCUGACAGUGGAGACAGACAGGAAGAGAGCAAACUGACUUACUGUAACAUUCAGUUUGUUUCGGUUCAGUUCUAUUCCAUUCGACUUUCCGCCUCUGACUGCAGUCAUUACCGUAUCCACCAGCGCCUUGCCCUCCUCAUCUGAGGAGACAGAGCCAUUGGAGUUGGGAAGGAGGGUGGGUGUUGAGUGUGUGCAUGUUUUACUAUACUUGUGAGUAACAGAAGUCCUUACAAGAAGAGUAAACCAACAGAAAUUCAGACAAGUGAGGACAUUUUGUCGACCUUAAAAAGGCUAUUUCUGACUUAGGGUUAGCGUUAGAAUUAGCUUUCAAAUUAGGGUUAGGUUUAGGGUCAGGAGUUAUCAUUAGGAUUAGGGUUAAGGUUAGGGAAAAUCGUUUUUUUUUUACGGGAAUCAAUUGCUGGUCCCCAAAAAUCCUCACAAGUAUAGUAACACAGUUGUGGGUGUGGUCAGGAUCAACAUUGUAGUUGCCCAUUAAAUCUAUUAGUGGCCUCUGGAUGACCCCUCUGAGGUUAAAUGUCACCAUAACUCAAGACUUAGCACCCUGAGAGACCUUCUCCUGAGGCUGGUGGCUGUAACUCAGCUAAAGGCCCGUCCAAAUGAUCGAAUAAUCUAUGGUUCCCUCUGACCCAGCUCUGACUGUUAUUAUGGUAUGGGCCUGGAACUGAGGGAGCGAACAGAUAAGGAAUGAGCAUAUAACGAGACGUUUGUCCUUCACUCUGGAGUAGAUUGAUGCAAGCCUCUGAGGAUCGUGU
This 1672-nucleotide long non-coding RNA is filed under the name Oncorhynchus mykiss (rainbow trout). Its description in RNAcentral is "lncRNA (ENSOMYG00000073160.1)". Lineage: Eukaryota; Metazoa; Chordata; Actinopteri; Salmoniformes; Salmonidae. The record is from RNAcentral.